GGAAUAUUGGGCAAUGGGCGAAAGCCUGACCCAGCAACGCCGCGUGAAGGAAGAAGGCUUUCGGGUUGUAAACUUCUUUUACCAGGGACGAAGGACGUGACGGUACCUGUCGAUUAAGCCACGGCUAACUACGUGCCAGCAGCCGCGGUAAUACGUAGGUGGCAAGCGUUGUCCGGAUUUACUGGGUGUAAAGGGCGUGUAGCCGGGUUGACAAGUCAGAUGUGAAAUCCUGCGGCUUAACCGCAGAACUGCAUUUGAAACUGUUGAUCUUGAGUACUGGAGAGGCAGACGGAAUUCCUAGUGUAGCGGUGAAAUGCGUAGAUAUUAGGAGGAACACCAGUGGCGAAGGCGGUCUGCUGGACAGCAACUGACGGUGAGGCGCGAAAGCGUGGGGAGCAAACAG
This 403-nucleotide ribosomal RNA is filed under the name uncultured bacterium. RNAcentral's name for it is "bacterial SSU rRNA". It matches the Rfam family "Bacterial small subunit ribosomal RNA", at positions 358 to 775 of the family's 1533-position model. The record is from RNAcentral.